RNAcentral lists this long non-coding RNA (6643 nucleotides) under Sus scrofa (pig). RNAcentral describes it as "lncRNA (ENSSSCG00000056205.1)". Lineage: Eukaryota; Metazoa; Chordata; Mammalia; Artiodactyla; Suidae. The record is from RNAcentral.
CCAGGUUUUGGACCCUGUCUUUCUAAUCCUACCUUCCUGACUUUACUGACUUCUUGGAACUUUUAUAUUGAUGUUAUCUAUGUACUUUCUCUAUCCCUGGCUUCUUAUGGCCACCCCUGCUAUUAUGUUAAUUUUCAGGAUAGCUGUUUAACCUAUAUAUAAUUACAUGUAUAUAACUUCCCUCUCCAACUCUCUGUAAGGGACUGUCUUAAAAAGAAUUUUUAACCUGAUUGGAUCUAAAUAAAAAAGAAAGGAAAGAAGUGCAUAGAAUGGGUUUGGAGCCAAGAAACACUCUUGAUGAUUUUGCCAGCUAUACAGGAGUUGCCCUAUUUCCAUGGGCUUUAGAGCAUUGGCCAGAACAUAAACACGGUAUAGUGUCUAUCCCUAGAAAGAGUGCGAUUUGUUUAAACUGUAAAAUGUUAAAAGUGAAUGUAUGAAAUACUCAGGAAUUCAUGAAGAUACUUUACAUGUAUUUUUCUGCUCAUUUGUCUCUUUGCAGGGAUGACCAAUCCUUUAUUCUUGGUCAGUGCAGCCCAGAGGACAGAACCCACUGUGGCUCUAGGGGAAGGCAUGAGAUCCAAGUCUUGCCAAUUACUAUGACACACAUUUGGACAGAACAAACAUUUCAAGGUUGGGAGUUUACCCAUGCUCAACCCCAGUCAGUGUCAGAUUUAAACAGAAACUACUGGGAGAGAGACAUCUACUCCAUUUCCAUGUGAGUUACUAACCUGAUAGCAAGUCCUCUUGGAGCUACCAGGGCACAUCCUCACUGUGUGAAGUAGGCAUGUUUGACAGAAACAGACAGAGGAAAAUAGAGUUAAGAUGGAAAGAGAUGGGAACAGUGUUAAAAUGUGUGUGAUGAAGCAACUGGAUCCAGCACAGGACUUAUUUAUAUGAGAUAGUAGAGUCCCUUUUUGUUUUAAGCUGGUUUGAUUUGGGUUUUUGUCCUCUAUAGCUGAAGGAAAUUUGGCCAAGUCAGUAAUUUGAAUAUAGUCUUUAGAUGAGAAAUUUAAGUUUUGUAAUUGACAGCCCUUCUUUUCUUGUUGGAAAUAAUGUAAGGCUUUAAAGCCAUUUUUCUUGUUUACAAAAUAUGAAGUCCCUCUGAGAAGAUAACUAUCUUGCUAACCAGGCAGUUGAUUACAUCUUCAUAAAUUUUUUAAACAUAGUAGUUUUUGGACAUAUUUGAAAACAAAUGAAUGACCUUGUCUUCUACUUGGGUCUGUGGAUCAUAAGCACCCAUUUCCUAAAUGUUACAGAGAAAAGCUUUUUAAAAAAUUUAUUUCCUGUGAUUGUAUGUAGGUAGAAUGUAGGUAGAAUGUAAACAGUGCAAACUUAAAUCCAUUUAAGAUUUCUCUAGGCUUGGAAUACUGUAUGCUUAUAUCAGUUAAAGACAAAGCUGAAGGUUAGCAGAAGAAUUUUCUACCUUCUGUGUCCUGGGAAUUUUUAUUUCACUUUUUGACCCAUCACUGAACUUGAGAUGGCUCAGUAGCCAUUCAUUAAGUCAGAUCUUGUAUUUUUCAGAUUUCUAAGACUGCCUUGCAAAUUUCUUUGUUGUUUUAUGAAUAUAUAGGCUUGUCUAGGAGUAGAUUUCCAGAAUGAAAGGGAGCUUGGAAAACAUCUCAUUAUCACAAAAACACGGUUUCUUAUGAGCUCUAUUCCAUAUGUAAAUACCCACUCAUUUGAGUUUCUUUUCAAUGUUUGGCAUUUCAGUUUGUAUACAUCUACAUAUUUAUAUAUAAAUUAUUCCACACAUUUUAGGAGAAACUAUUAUGGGGGUGGGAAACAUUAUGUUAAAUAAUUAUCAUUUUUACAAUUUGAAAGACUUUUUUCCUUUUCUGUUGGAAAAACACUACCCUUUAGAGUUUAUGUAGUAGUGACAUUGAAAGUUCUAUGGUUCAGGCCCCUGGAAUUCAAGCAGCAUAUUUUAUUCUUAAAUAAUUAAAGUUCAUUGUAAUUGGAGAUUUCUGUAGAGACUAUUCAGCAUAUUUUCAUGGUCUCUCUACCUUGUCUGCUCAAUUGAUGAGUUACUGUUUCCAAACUUCUGGGAGAGAAGUGAACUUAACAGCUUGUGAUACAAAUUAUGCACAUACAGGAUAGUGCAUUUACACACAUAGAACAGUAUUUGUGGUGGCAUUUGUGUAUGAAAAUGAUGCUUCUGACCUCUGCUUACUAUCUGAUCUCAUUACAUCACUGCUUAAAAUGAGGAAAGGACACACCAUGGUGGGAAAGAUGAGUUCCCAGCACCUAUGCAUGCUAACAUGCCUUAAGUCUUGCAUUCCCUGGUUCCAGUCCCAUCAUCAUGUCCCAGGCUCUCCUGCGGUUUCAGGCUGUGAGCUUUUACACCAGGCUGUUGCCUCAAUCUGCGGUGCUUUCUCUGCCUCCUUUCAUCCCUGGCAAGUUCAGGUCUCUGUGUAAGUGUGGUAUUGUUGAUAAGGCCUUUCUUGAGUAAUCUUCUCUUGACCCUAGAGUAUCUUUUACACACUGUGAUCAUAGAAUUACAGUAUUCAUGUUUGUUGAGAUGUAAUAUUAGUAUGGUAGACUAAGAAAUGAGGCAAACUCUGUCUUCCUUUGCUGCCUCUUAAGGCAGAGUGGCUUCAAGUAAGGAGUCAUGGUAUGUUUUCUCACAACUGGUGGAAAUAGCAUACUUUGUGCAACAAGUAUACUUCCAAACCUAGACCUCUCUUACAGAACUCAAUUUAAACAAGUAUGGUUUUAUAGUUUAGGAUUCAUGCACCCCUUCAUGAUGCAUUCACAUGUACUCCAAGGACCCUUCAUCAAAGAGUAUUCUACUUUAUUCCUUGGUAUGGAACUAUAGUACAAACAAGCCUUGUUUUAUAUGUGAGAGAAAAAGCCAAGAUGAGAUGUUUAGAGGAAGGCUCUAGAGUUGAUCUUCUGGGCUCUACCCCAAAAUAUCUGGUCCUUCCAGAGUAAGUGCAGAGCUAACACUCCUAUGAUUCCAUUUUCAGCUUUACUUAUAACCAUUUAACAUCUGCUCCUAGGAACUAUGAGCUGUCCUGGUUGAUACAGGCGAUGGCUGGCUGUGGGGUAUAGGCACUGCUUUGUGUCUUACUGUCUUGUGUGCCCCAAGGUUGCUUCACCCUGUUUGAUUCAAGCCACGUGAACAUGUGACCUUUCUUUAAUACCCAGGACACUUGAAGGCCUCAAGAAUGGAAGGUGGGUCUGAGCUACAAGGGUCACAGCCUUCUCAGUAUUAGAUCAUAACAAAGAUUGAGGGGGAAGACAUCAACUUUUUCCCUCAGUGUUUCUAGAUGGAUGAAAAUGAUCACACUAUGUCUGUAAAACUGAAAAUGACCUGAUAGAAUCAGACAUCUCUCAGGGUGAAGGGCAAAGGGUACAAGCCUCCCUGAUUAUGUCCCACUCACCCUCUUGGCUUUGCAUGAGUGGUGUGUUGAGAGAGUGGUGGAAUGGGUAGGAGGAGAAUUAGAGAAGCUGUUGCAGUUUAAGAAUUGGUCUGAAAUGUGGCCUGACUCUAGCACAGAGAUGCUAAAAACACCUCUUGAGAUCAUGGAGGCCAAAUGUCUCUAUAUUUUCAGGAGAAGAAUGUCUCUACAUUCUCCCAUGUCCUUAUUUUUGUUAUUCUUAGACCCAGGGGCCUGCCUAUGGGGGUGAGAGGUGGAUAAGUCCUUAGUACCAGUAAAAAAUAUUCUACUUGCCUGUUACAUGUCUUUUAAAGAUCUUUUCCCCCUUUCCAUAUAAACAUCUUGCAGCAUAUACUUGGUCUUUUCAUUUCUGUUACUUUAGCAUCUAGCAUAAUACUCAGGUCUCCAUUAAAUUAAUGAACACCGAGUGAAUGAAUAUGUGUUUCACUUUGAUGAAAAACAUACAUUUUGUGGUAUUUCUGGUGUACUUAUUUGUAUAAAACUUAGACUUCCAUGAGUAUGGCACUCUAAAUAUCCCUAUAUGAACGUGCCCAUUGCUAACUUUUGUUUCAAGACCCUUUUGAAGUUGUAAGCUAGCAAGAUCAAUGUAGGAUUCUAUGAAUGCCAUUAUUUUCAUCAUUCACUCAUUUUAGAAGAAAAGGAAGCUUCUUUUCCUCACCUCCCACAGCCUGAAGAAAGUUUCCUUUUUGAGAACAAAAUUACCAUUUGUUUCAAGCUUUCUCUUCAAUUAUAGCAAUUUCCACAUGUUUUGAACUAUUCUCAGCAAAAGGAAAAAUCAACAUUUGCACUUUUGAUACACAGGCUAAUCUGGUUGACACAGGUUUAAAGGCAGCAUGGCUGCAACAUGUAAUUCGGAAGAUGGUUCUUAAUUUGCUCUUGGCUAUUGCCAGUGCUCCCUGUGAACUUAUAAGCAGGCCAAACCGAACUCUUCCUUGAGUGCUAUUAAGUGGGCCACAUAAAGUGGACCUUGAAAUGUACUGUCAAACAGCUCACCCCCUUAUAAGGAUAAGACAACAUAUCUAUUUAGCUGAAGUUUCACCUGUAUAUUUUUUAUGUUGCAGAGGCUUCAGUUGGGACGGUAAAAGAGCAUCCUUUGCAGACAGCCAGCUGUGGCCUGCCAAUUCCAGCUCCUGACAGGUAGCAGGCUGGAUUCUUGGCUGCCAAGAAUCUCAAACAGUUCCGAUAUGCUCUAGGGAGGGCAACUGUUUAGCCUAAGCAAUUCAAAGAAACAUAAUUGUGCUUCACACUACACAGAAAGUCACCACAUCUGUUUCAUAUUUUUGGCUUUUAGAACUGAGCUAGAACAGAGAAAUAAACAUACAGCUUUGAAUAUAGAGUAAAAACAAGUUCAUGGUGCACAGAUGAGCAUAUUGUAUGUAACUCAGUGAAAAUUUCCUUAAUGAGGGUUUCUUUUGGUUAAGUGAGAAAUAUUUCUGGUGUUAAUCAAGGUUUUUUAAAAGAGAUUUAAUAGAAAAUAUUAUCUAUUUAAAUGUCAAGGCAGCCUGUCAUUCCCCCUUAAAUCUAUUACAGUCAAUUGUUGAGAUGCCGCAGCCAUGGUCAUGUGACCUAUUGCAAAUAUUUGGGGAGUCAUCUGCACUGCAUUAGCCUUUCUAGUGGUAGUUAUUUAAAAAAAAAUAAUUUAGAUGUAGUAGGCUAAAAACAUUCAAGGCAAUGAAUUAGAACUUCAUUAACCACUUUCAUCUUUUAUUUUGGUUCAAAUGUAAAUGCAGUCAUUUGAUAUCUAAGUGUAUAUAAUAUGUGAUGACUGUCUUUUAAAAAUGUAAUCUAGCAGAAAAUACAUCUUAAUUUGAAUGUAACGCUGACUUAAAUAUAAUUUUAAUAUUCUUCAGCAUCUGGUGUCUCAAAGAAUGAGGUCAUUUGAGGUUAAGAAACUUUUUCCUGCAGCAGUAAUAAUAAUAAUAAUAAUAAUAAUCUUCAGAAAACAGUGAAAAAGGCAAGCACUUAUCUAAAUGAUCAUAUAUCAUGGAGAAAAGGGAAGAAAGAGACUAACAUGCAUGAAGAUUUUCCUUUUAUUGGGGGCUUUACAUUAUAAUGCUUAUAUAUUUCCUCUUCUAUUAUAUACAUAAAAUUUUUGAGGUCUUUCAGAUGAAGAAUCUGACAUGAAAUAAAUAGCUCAAAUAUCAUGAGAUCUGCUGUCCACUCAUUUUCUUUCAAUUACACUUAGGUGUUUCUGUAUUUAUUUAUUUAUUUUUGAUUUUAAGGGCUGCACCCUUGGUAUAAGGAGGUUUCCAGGCUAGGCAUCAAAUUGGACCUACAGUUGCCGGCCUACACCACAGCCACCACAAUGCCAGAUCUGAGCCACAUCUGGAACCUACACCACAGCUCAUGGCAACACCUUAUCCUUAACCCACUGAGAAAGGCCAGGGAUCAAACCUGCAUCCUCAUGGAUAUCAGUCGGGUUCAUUACCACUGAGCCACAGUGGAAACUGCCAUAUUUAUUUUUUAAUGUCUGUUCCUACAAACCUACAAACUAAGUGAGGCCAAGGACUAUGUCUGUCCUUCACUGUGUACUCAGGGAUUUGCUCGUACAUAAAUAGCAACUAAUUGAUAUAUAUUGACAGUAAUAGAUGCCAGGCCUUGUUCUAAACUACUCAAAUAUAUUUAUGUAUUUGAGCCCCCCAACAAAACUUUGAAUGGAUUAAUUAUUAUUCCCACUUUAUAACUGAAAACCUUAUAACCUUAUCUGGGUACAAGCUUUCAACUACCAGAUGAACUCUUGGCAAAGUAAGAAAUACUCUGAAGUUCACCAAGAUUGACAAAAGCCUCAUAGAUGAAACUACUCAGGUGUUAGGAUAGCUUAUCAUUACCCUUUGAUAAUUUAUUCAUUUAACAGAAAAGCAUACUUAUGUGCCAUUGGGCUAAGUAUCUUUUUACCUUCUUAGUUACCUGACUCAAACUUCACAGGAACUGUGUGUGUGUGUGUGUGUGUGUGUGUGUGUAUGUGUACCUCAUUCUCUUUAAUGUAUAGAUGAGGGGAGUUCCCGUCGUGGCUCAGUGGCUUAUGAAUCCGACUAGGAAACAUGAGGUUGCUGUUCAAUCCCUGGCUUUGCUCAGUGGGUUAAGAACCUGGCGUUGCCAUGAGCUGUGAUGUAGGUUGCAGACACAGCUUGGAUCUGGUGUUGCUGUGGCCUUGGCGAAGGCCGGAGGCUACAGCUCCGAUAGGACCCCUAGCCUGGGAAUCUCCAUAUGCCACAGGUGUGGCCCUUAGAAAAGGCAAAAAG